GGAGGGCGCUAGCGUUGUUCGGAAUCAUUGGGCGUAAAGCGCGUGUAGGCGGCUUGGUAAGUCGGGCGUGAAAUCCCGGGGCUCAACCCCGGAACUGCGCUCGAAACUGCCUCGCUUGAGUCCCGGAGAGGAGGGCGGAAUUCCCGGUGUAGAGGUGAAAUUCGUAGAUAUCGGGAGGAACACCAGUGGCGAAGGCGGCCCUCUGGACGGUGACUGACGCUGAGACGCGAAAGCGUGGGGAGCAAACAGGAUUAGAUACCCUGGUAGUCCACGCCGUAAACGUUGGGUGCUAGGUGUCGCGGGUAUUGACCCCCCUGCGGUGCCGUCGUUAACGCAUUUAGCACCCCGCCUGGGGAGUACGGUCGCAAGGCUAA
RNAcentral lists this ribosomal RNA (374 nucleotides) under uncultured organism. RNAcentral describes it as "partial 16S ribosomal RNA". It matches the Rfam family "Bacterial small subunit ribosomal RNA", at positions 527 to 897 of the family's 1533-position model. The record is from RNAcentral.